CAGUCGCCGCGGGAAUACGGAGGGUGCAAGCGUUAAUCGGAAUUACUGGGCGUAAAGCGCACGCAGGCGGUCUGUCAAGUCAGAUGUGAAAUCCCCGGGCUUAACCUGGGAACUGCAUUUGAAACUGGCAGGCUAGAGUCUUGUAGAGGGGGGUAGAAUUCCAGGUGUAGCGGUGAAAUGCGUAGAGAUCUGGAGGAAUACCGGUGGCGAAGGCGGCCCCCUGGACAAAGACUGACGCUCAGGUGCGAAAGCGUGGGGAGCAAACAGGAUUAGAUACCCGGGUAGCCCUGUCUCUUAUACA
This 301-nucleotide ribosomal RNA is filed under the name uncultured bacterium. RNAcentral's name for it is "partial 16S ribosomal RNA". It matches the Rfam family "Bacterial small subunit ribosomal RNA", at positions 509 to 809 of the family's 1533-position model. The record is from RNAcentral.